This 859-nucleotide ribosomal RNA is filed under the name uncultured Bacteroidota bacterium. RNAcentral describes it as "bacterial SSU rRNA". It matches the Rfam family "Bacterial small subunit ribosomal RNA", at positions 1 to 853 of the family's 1533-position model. The record is from RNAcentral. Lineage: Bacteria; Pseudomonadati; Bacteroidota.
GGAUCCAGACUUUGAUUAUGGCUCAGGAUGAACGCUAGCUACAGGCUUAACACAUGCAAGUCGAGGGGCAGCAUGGUCUUAGCUUGCUAAGGCCGAUGGCGUCCGGCGCACGGGUGAGUAACACGUAUCCAACCUGCCGUCUACUCUUGGACAGCCUUCUGAAAGGAAGAUUAAUACAAGAUGGCAUCAUGAGUCCGCAUGUUCACAUGAUUAAAGGUAUUCCGGUAGACGAUGGGGAUGCGUUCCAUUAGAUAGUAGGCGGGGUAACGGCCCACCUAGUCUUCGAUGGAUAGGGGUUCUGAGAGGAAGGUCCCCCACAUUGGAACUGAGACACGGUCCAAACUCCUACGGGAGGCAGCAGUGAGGAAUAUUGGUCAAUGGGCGAGAGCCUGAACCAGCCAAGUAGCGUGAAGGAUGACUGCCCUAUGGGUUGUAAACUUCUUUUAUAAAGGAAUAAAGUCGGGUAUGGAUACCCGUUUGCAUGUACUUUAUGAAUAAGGAUCGGCUAACUCCGUGCCAGCAGCCGCGGUAAUACGGAGGAUCCGAGCGUUAUCCGGAUUUAUUGGGUUUAAAGGGAGCGUAGAUGGAUGUUUAAGUCAGUUGUGAAAGUUUGCGGCUCAACCGUAAAAUUGCAGUUGAUACUGGAUAUCUUGAGUGCAGUUGAGGCAGGCGGAAUUCGUGGUGUAGCGGUGAAAUGCUUAGAUAUCACGAAGAACUCCGAUUGCGAAGGCAGCCUGCUAAGCUGCAACUGACAUUGAGGCUCGAAAGUGUGGGUAUCAAACAGGAUUAGAUACCCUGGUAGUCCACACGGUAAACGAUGAAUACUCGCUGUUUGCGAUAUACAGCAAGCGGCCAAGCG